Molecule: ribosomal RNA, 506 nt
Filed under: uncultured bacterium
Lineage: Bacteria
Description: partial 16S ribosomal RNA
Rfam family: Bacterial small subunit ribosomal RNA
Source: RNAcentral
AUUGAACGCUGGCGGCAGGCCUAACACAUGCAAGUCGAACGGCAGCGGGGGAUAGCUUGCUAUCCUGCCGGCGAGUGGCGGACGGGUGAGUAAUGCAUGGGGAGCUGCCCAGUCGAGGGGGAUAACAACUGGAAACGGUUGCCAAUACCGCAUACGCCCUAAGGGGGAAAGGUGGGGAACUUCGGUCCUACCGCGAUUGGAUGCGCCCAUGUGGGAUUAGCUAGUUGGUGAGGUAACGGCUCACCAAGGCGACGAUCUCUAGCUGGUCUGAGGGACGGACCGGCCAAACUGGAACUGGGACACGGGCCAGACUCCUACGGGAGGUAGCAGUGGGGAAUAUUGCACAAUGGGAGAAACCCUGAUGCAGCCAUGCAGCGUGUGUGAAGAAGGCCUUCGGGUUGUAAAGCACUUUCAGUCAGGAGGAAGGGGUGAUGGCUAAUAUCCAUCAUCAUUGACGUUACUGACAGAAGAAGCACCGGCUAACUCCGUGCCAGCCGCCGCUGUAA